This 99-nucleotide small nuclear RNA is filed under the name Heterocephalus glaber (naked mole-rat). Its description in RNAcentral is "U2 spliceosomal RNA (ENSHGLG00000046804.1)". It matches the Rfam family "U2 spliceosomal RNA". From Rfam's summary of the family: U2 is a small nuclear RNA (snRNA) component of the spliceosome (involved in pre-mRNA splicing). Complementary binding between U2 snRNA (in an area lying towards the 5' end but 3' to hairpin I) and the branchpoint sequence (BPS) of the intron results the bulging out of an unpaired adenosine, on the BPS, which initiates a nucleophilic attack at the intronic 5' splice site, thus starting the first of two transesterification reactions that mediate splicing. The record is from RNAcentral. Lineage: Eukaryota; Metazoa; Chordata; Mammalia; Rodentia; Bathyergidae.
AUUGCUUCUCGGCCUUUUGGCUAAGAUCAAGUGUAGCAUCAUAUUACUUGCAAUUAAUGAAAAAUCUCCCUCAUUUUUUCAAAUUCUUAUGUAUCUUAU